Camelus dromedarius (Arabian camel) is the source of this 2200-nucleotide long non-coding RNA. RefSeq lists it as uncharacterized. The record is from RefSeq and is a predicted model, not a curated record. NCBI's taxonomy places the organism in Eukaryota, Metazoa, Chordata, Mammalia, Artiodactyla, Camelidae. The transcript has 2 exons.
ACACAAAGGGAUUUCCUCUGGCCCUAAAAAUUGGAUUCAGGAAUGAACAUUUGACCUUACCUGAUGCCAGUAAAACCUACUUAGAUUUUGGCUAGGUCUUUUAUUUUUAUUUUUAUUUUUUAUUGAAGUAUAGUUGAUUUAUAAUGUUAGUUUCAGGUAUACAGCAAAGUGAUUCAGUUGUACAUAUACAUACAUAUUAUAUUUUCUUUCAGAUUCUUUUCCAUGGUAUGUUAUUAUAAAAAAUUGGAUUGAGUUCCCUGUGCUAUACAGUAGGUUCUUGUUUAUCUACUUUAUAUGCAGUAGUGUGCUUAUGUUAAUCCCCAUUCUCCCUGCCUUUCCCCUUUGUAACCAUAGUUUGUUUUCUAUGCCCAUGAGUCUGUUUUUGGUUUGUAAGUAGAAUUUGUAUCACUUUUCUUUAGAUUCCACAUAUAAGUGAUAUCAUGUGAUAUUUGUCUUUCUCUGUCUGACUCACAUGGCUGGGUCUUUUAAAAGAGAGGCUUCUUGUCUUUUUGGCCAAGGUCAAUGCCUAUCAUUGUAGAAAAUGAUCCACUGAAUCCUCGAAUAAAGCCAGUGGUGAGGAGUGAAAAAUGGAGCAAAACUAAUUCCUAACUACAUAAAUUGGAAUAAACUAAACAUGAAGGUAGAUACCCAAAUAAAUCUCAGUCAUUUGAAUAAAUAAGUUCAAUUUGACAUAGGUCAUUUUGGGUUGAGUCUUCCAUCACUUGUAAAUCUUGAUGUAACUGACAUGUCUCAUCUGUUCGAUCACCAUCAAUGUCAGUUCCAGUAUUUGUGCUCAUUGGACACCUGAUAGCUGUUGCUUUAACAGUGGCCUGUGCGCGUACCACAUCAUGGCGAAGUUUGAUGGGUGUCUAUAAUUUCAUGAGCGCAAGAAAGGUGGACAUGUUGUGUUGGGAUAUGAAGCUAGUUAUGGAGCAGAUACACAGGACAGCACACUCACACUCAAAGAGGAAACUGCUGUAAGGAGAGGCUGGGGCGAGUGCAUUGCCUAAAAAGUUGUCUGGUUUGUUUUCCUUCCAUACUGCACACGUUCAUCAAGUGUGGCCAUUCAAAACAUGUAUGUUCUGCAACAGUAACGGUGGUCCCUCUCCUCCCAGCAGGAAGUAAGCUAAUAGCCGACAGAGAAGCAGCAGAAACGGGCACCAAGGUGGAGGGGGGAGGGGACACAAACGUGCCACUUGUCUUUGAGAGAGCGUGAGGGUAGGAGUUGAUGCUGACAGAACAGUAAACCGCCCGGUUCAUAGCUUGCUACAGCUCUGUCAUGUUAUCCUCUCAUUUCUGUGGGUUAUGAUAAUUAGGUCUUAGGUUUCUUGUCCUUGAUCGGUACCAAGAUAUUCAACUAGCAUGUAUUUGUUUAAUGGAAUACAGGAAUACGCUAUUGAGAAACUAUUGCUCUGUACACAUAUCCAUGUCUACGUGUGAUCCCUCUGCUGUGGAUUUACAAGGGAAAACUGAGCACAUAUCCUUUUCCACCUAAUUGUUUUUAUUCUCCACACUCAUCAGCCUCACAAGAUAUAAUAAGUACUGUGUGUCUGGGUGUGUGAACGUGGGUUUCAAAAAGAUUGAGGAGAAUUUUCUGAGUUGGGGGUGGGAGAGGUUGGCAAAGGACACCAGCCUGAGAAAAUAUUUGGACAUUUUAGGUUUGAGGUCCAUCAAAUGGAGUGGACUAGGUUGCCUGACAUGCAGGAGAGCAUGGAUCUUCUGUGUUUGAGGAUUACAGAGGUGUGCACGAGUGCCUCUCUGUCAGGAGGAUCGAUAGGUCCACAGGUUCUGCUUUGAAUAGUACUGGAAUCUACUGCUCACAGGACCAUUUGAUUUCACUCAAUUGUUUCUUGACUUCAUAGUCAACUCACAGGCUGGGUUCAAAUGAAUUGGGAGAAUAAUGAACACUUUCCUAUUGAUUCAUCAUUCUGGGAAACCUAUCACAAGAGAUGAAGAUGAAGGGCCCCUCUUUUAUGGGGCUGAUGAAAGAUAGCUUUCUCUACUCCUUUGUAAUAGUCACUUCUUUCUGGCUUCUAUAAAAUAAUGAAUGUAUUUUCUUUUCAUGAACAGCUCUGUGUUUAUUAAAAGAAAAAAAUUAAGAAAUUAAGUCGAUAAUGUAUUCAUAAAGUCUCAUGUGUGAGUUCCAUAUUUCUAAAUGAAGCCAUAGGUAUAAUAAAAAUGCAACCAUUUUUGAAAUUAA